This 127-nucleotide non-coding RNA is filed under the name Hucho hucho (huchen). Lineage: Eukaryota; Metazoa; Chordata; Actinopteri; Salmoniformes; Salmonidae. The record is from RNAcentral.
GUGGUUGUUCAGUUAAAAAGUGAAACCGUGUACUAUUCUCCACGACACCCCAGACGACAGUGAUACUGGUGCUCACCGACAGGACCUAAUAAGUUAUUGAGAUCCCUGUGCGAUGGUUCGAGACGAA